CAGCCGCCACGGUAAUACGUAGGUGGCAAGCGUUGUCCGGAAUUAUUGGGCGUAAAGGGCUCGCAGGCGGUUUCUUAAGUCUGAUGUGAAAGCCCCCGGCUCAACCGGGGAGGGUCAUUGGAAACUGGGAAACUUGAGUGCAGAAGAGGAGAGUGGAAUUCCACGUGUAGCGGUGAAAUGCGUAGAGAUGUGGAGGAACACCAGUGGCGAAGGCGACUCUCUGGUCUGUAACUGACGCUGAGGAGCGAAAGCGUGGGGAGCAAACAGGAUUAGAUACCCCUGUAGUCCCUGUCUCUUAUAA
Molecule: ribosomal RNA, 301 nt
Filed under: uncultured bacterium
Lineage: Bacteria
Description: partial 16S ribosomal RNA
Rfam family: Bacterial small subunit ribosomal RNA
Source: RNAcentral